GCAAGUCGCGGGGUAAGGCUCUUUCUGGGAGCACACGACCGGCGCACGGGUGCGUAACGCGUAUGCAACCUACCUAUAACAAGGGGAUAGCCCGGGGAAACCCGGAUUAAUACCCUAUAAAGCAGGGGUACUGCAUGGUACUAUUUGCUAAAGUUGAGGCGGUUAUAGAUGGGCAUGCGUUAGAUUAGCUAGUUGGUAAGGUAACGGCUUACCAAGGCGACGAUCUAUAGGGGUUCUGAGAGGAAGGUCCCCCACACUGGCACUGAGAUACGGGCCAGACUCCUACGGGAGGCAGCAGUAAGGAAUAUUGGUCAAUGGGCGAGAGCCUUGAACCAGCCAUGCCGCGUGCAGGAAGACGGCCUUCUGGGUUGUAAACUGCUUUUAUACGGGAAGAAAAAGGUCUUGCGAGGCUACUUGCCGGUACCGUAUGAAUAAGCACCGGCUAACUCCGUGCCAGCAGCCGCGGUAAUACGGAGGGUGCAAGCGUUGUCCGGAUUUAUUGGGUUUAAAGGGUGUGUAGGCGGAAGUUUAAGUCAGUGGUGAAAGUCUUGAGCUUAACUGAAGAAGUGCCAUUGAAACUGGAUUACUAGAGUAUAGUCGAGGGUAGGCGGAAUUUAUGGUGUAGCGGUGAAAAUGCAUUAGAUACCAUAAAGAACACCGAUAGCGAAGGCAGUUUAUUAAGGCUAUAACCUGACGCUGAGGCCACGAAAGCAUGGGUAUCGAACAGGAUUAGAUACCCUGGUAAGUCCAUGCUGUAAACGAUGCUCAACUAGCUGUUGGGGAUAUAAGUUCAGCGGGUUAGCGAAAGCGAUAAGUGAGCCACCUGGGGAGUACGUCCGCAGGGUUGAAACUCAAAGGGAAUUGACG
RNAcentral lists this ribosomal RNA (867 nucleotides) under uncultured organism. RNAcentral describes it as "bacterial SSU rRNA". It matches the Rfam family "Bacterial small subunit ribosomal RNA", at positions 57 to 915 of the family's 1533-position model. The record is from RNAcentral.